Molecule: ribosomal RNA, 451 nt
Filed under: uncultured bacterium
Lineage: Bacteria
Description: bacterial SSU rRNA
Rfam family: Bacterial small subunit ribosomal RNA
Source: RNAcentral
AACGAACGCUGGCGGCAUGCCUAACACAUGCAAGUCGAACGAAGCCUUCGGGCUUAGUGGCGCACGGGUGCGUAACGCGUGGGAAUCUGCCCUUGGGUUCGGAAUAACAGUUAGAAAUGACUGCUAAUACCGAAUGAUGUCUUCGGACCAAAGAUUUAUCGCCCAAGGAUGAGCCCGCGUCGGAUUAGCUAGUUGGUGAGGUAAAGGCUCACCAAGGCGACGAUCCGUAGCUGGUCUGAGAGGAUGAUCAGCCACACUGGGACUGAGAUACGGCCCAGACUCCUACGGGAGGCAGCAGUGGGGAAUAUUGGACAAUGGGGGCAACCCUGAUCCAGCAAUGCCGCGUGAGUGAUGAAGGCCUUAGGGUUGUAAAGCUCUUUUGCCAGGGAAGAUGAUGACUGUACCUGGAGAAUAAAGCCCCGGCUAACUUCGUGCCAGCAGCCGCGGUAAU